ACCGCGCCCCGCGCCCCGGGCCGCGCAGCCAGCCCUUACCUUGCAGCGACCAGCUCUCCCCCGCUCGCUAAAGCUACUUAUCCCGGGAAAGCUCGCGCGGGGCCCGGGAGCGAACCCACAGACAAAAAGUGAAACUUCGGCAAGGCUGGAGCGGCUGCUGGUUGGUGCCUUUCCCCCUCCUUCCUCCCACCGUCCCCACCCCCUCCCCUCGGUCUCCCGUGCGGUGCCCUGAGAGCUGGAGGCUGACGUCAGGACGGGCCUGAAUUCCUGACUUUGCCUGCACGCAUUUGUCCAUGGCGCCAGACUAGGGGGUUGAGUCCGGGUAGACGAGCUCAGCCGUGGAAUCCCCCUGCGAGAUCUUGCUCGUGAGCCCCGCCCCGGAUUCCCAGCAAGGUUCAAACGUACUGGAUGUCGGAACUGGCCCCGACCAACUUCCAGCCCUUCCACUUCACACGGGAAAUCUGAAGCUCUCGGAAGAGAAACGACUCGUACAAGGUCAUGCCCGCCACAGAUCCCGGCGCGGGAGCCAGAUGCUCAGUCUCCCAGCUAUGUUCCUGUCUGCAGGCAGGGGCCCGACUCCCUCCUUCCCGCGGACCAGUUAGCCCGGCUGGAUGUCAGAGGGCAACGCGGACCACCCUGGGAAGAGAUUUGGAGCUUCCCCGGGCCCCGUACGCGGUCAGUUCCUGGAAGGUUCUGAUUGCCAAUGAGCACUGCAUAGCCAUGCUGAUCAGUUUCUUCAAGGCAACUCCUUCCAUCCAGUGCUCAAAUAAACGAAGCCCUGGAAUUUACUUAACAGCCCUAUCCAGAAACCCAGACUUCGUGCUUAUAGCUUCAAAAAAAAUCUACGAACUGGGUGAAUUAGUUUGAAUAAAGGCAAGACUGUUCUUGGAAGGUUUGUGUAGGACUUUUUGCUCUGAUAUUUGUAAAUGUGAGCACCAUGUGAGGGGCCUAUCCUGUGCAUCAGCCAUUGCCUGCAAGGCACGCCGAGGCUGGAGACUCGUUUCCUUGUACUUCUGUCCUGCUUCCUGAUGUCUAAACUAAUCAUUCCUCACCCCAGCGCAUCGUAAAAGCACAUUCUCCCAGGUUUAUAAGGUCUUCAUAAAACAAAUUGUAGUCCAUCGUUGACAUUUGAGGUAAAAAGUCAGGCAAAAUAACUUAACCAACACAAAAACAGCAAGCAACUUGAACCCACCUCCGGUGUCUAGGUCACCUGACUGAUCCCAUGAUUUUUUCCACCCAAGGAGGAGGCCCUGAUCUCCUAAUUCAUAUUAAUACAUGUUGAGAGUACACCAUGAGUUACUAAUUCGUGAAAUCUCCAAAAGUUGGUUCUUUUGGGAUUUGGUGUGACUUUUUUUUUUUUUAACCAAGAAUUAAACAAAUGCAGAAACACAUAUUUUUGCACUUAACCAUUUAUUAAGCAUAUUCUUUGUGCAAAGUCUUUGACUUCACACAUUUCUGCUUCCAAAUUAAUCUCUCUUGCUCUCAGUUUCUCAUCUAUUCAUACAAAAAUAUGAAAAUAGAGAAGUUCAGUAAUGAAAUAUUUUUCUUUGCAACUGGUAUAGUUUGAAAUAGGAAAUGUGAGCUCCUAAAGACAUUUUGUUCUGGGGCUUAAAAAGAUUAUUCUCUUACACCACAAUUCACUUAUUCUAUCCUCAGUAUUUCAGCAAACGACAUUCUAAGUGGUACUGUAUAAUAUGAAAAAUUCCUGGUAUCACGCAAAGUAAGAAUGGAUUCAACCAUUCCCCAUCGGAUAUAACGGGACUUGACCAGCAUUUUUUUUUUCCUUCCCCAGUAACCCACUUAUAAAGAAUAAUAGGGUUCUAAUGAGGAUUAAUAAGAUUUAAUAAGGUAUAAUUAGAGCCAUUCAUUUCCUUCAUCAUACACAUUGUAAGAGUGCUGUGUUAGAUCCAGAAAUGCUCCUAAUUAUGUUGAAACUGUUGUAUGAGUGUGUUGGGGAAGAUCACUGUGUCACCCCUCCUGAAAUAUUUAUGAAAUGCUCAGGUGGGCCUGAUGUUAGCACAAGUAUUAUAUAAAGUUAAUCACAAAAGAUAAUUUCUACUCAGGAGGCACUCACCAGGAGUGUAAGAGGCAAAGUCAUAAAUUGGAUGCUUGGCGAACUGCAUGCAGUCUUGUCAUCAGUGCAAACUCAAAUCAAAAGCCUCAUUUUCGUGUGCUGAUCUGAUUUCUUUUGUAUUCACACUUCUCUCAACAACCCUAUUAAAACCUGCUGCGUGCGGGGACUUGGGAAAGAAGGGAAGGCUGUGUAAAGCUACAGACACAAUUCUGGAGAAAUACAGGUUUACGAAUUCAGAGACUAAAAGAAGCACAGAAUUUCAGAUGGGGCGGAGGAUGAGUGACCAGAGGAUUGUACACUGGUGGCCUGAAGCCCUACAGAUGCAGUCUCGUAGGUCCAGUGAUGGCACAAAAGACUUUGAACAAGGCUAGGCUGUGGUGCCCCCAUUUCCUUGCAUCCAGGACCAUCCCUUUCCCAGAGGCCAUUGUGUAGCUCAUGCCAGUCCUUUCUCUGACCUUACAUAUGCCUGGCAAUAUUCUAAGGAUUUUUCAUCCAUAUUUCAUUUAACCCUCACAGAACCCUUCUGAGCUUGGCAGCAGUAUUUUCUCUAGCCCAGGAAGGUGAAGUAGCCUGCUCUUAACACAGAGCAAGUACAUGGUAAGCUGAAAUGCCCCUCUGAGCCCAGGCAGCCUGACUACUCACCCACUGCUGAGUGACCAUCUGGUCUCAGUUUGAACAUUCCAGUGUGCAGAACUCAUAAUCUGUCACAGCUGACCAAGAGGGUAUGAAGAAGCUACUGG
RNAcentral lists this long non-coding RNA (2814 nucleotides) under Bos taurus (domestic cattle). RNAcentral describes it as "long non-coding RNA NONBTAT000830". Lineage: Eukaryota; Metazoa; Chordata; Mammalia; Artiodactyla; Bovidae. The record is from RNAcentral.